CUUAAGAAGUUUAUUUUUUAUUAUGAAGCAUCAGAAUACAGAUGCUCCUGUGUCUACUGUAAAGUUGCUUUAGAGACAAUAAAGUUCUUCCUAGAUGUUAUGGAAAGCCAAACAUGUAUGAUGGAAAAUAAAACACAUGCAGAUGUUAAGAAGCAUAUCACAAACAUUACAGAAAUCCUAGAAAACAAAGGGCCCAGUGAUACCUACAACUUUUGUUGUACCCUGAAGGAAAUUGAUUAUUCUUUAGACCUAACUGAAAAUGGAAAACACAUUUUGAAACUGGUGGAGACCUUACAGUUAGAAUUUACAGGUAAGUUUGAUUCACAAUGUAUAUAUUUUUAAACUCUCCUAUAGACCAGUUCCUUCCAUUUUAUUUGA
Thamnophis elegans (Western terrestrial garter snake) is the source of this 378-nucleotide long non-coding RNA. RefSeq lists it as uncharacterized. Lineage: Eukaryota; Metazoa; Chordata; Lepidosauria; Squamata; Natricidae. The transcript has 3 exons. The record is from RefSeq and is a predicted model, not a curated record.